RNAcentral lists this ribosomal RNA (459 nucleotides) under uncultured bacterium. RNAcentral's name for it is "partial 16S ribosomal RNA". It matches the Rfam family "Bacterial small subunit ribosomal RNA", at positions 338 to 795 of the family's 1533-position model. The record is from RNAcentral.
CCUACGGGAGGCAGCAGUGAGGAAUAUUGGUCAAUGGCCGGAAGGCUGAACCAGCCAAGCCGCGUGAAGGACGAAGGUGCCAAGCAUUUUAAACUUCUUUUGUCAAGGGACAAAAUCAGGCUCGAGAGCCUGACCGAGGGUACUUGAAGAAAAAGCAUCGGCUAACUCCGUGCCAGCAGCCGCGGUAAUACGGGGGAUGCGAGGGGUGUCCGGAUUGAUUGGGUUUAACGGGUGCGUAGGCGGGCUGUUAAGUCAGCGGUAAAAGCCCGGGGCUCAACCCCGGCGAGCCGUUGAAACUGGCUGUCUUGAGAUGUCGAGAGGUAUGCGGAAUGCGCAGUGUAGCGGUGAAAUGCUUAGAUAUAGCGCAGAACUCCGGUGGCGAAGGCAGCAUACCGGCGGCGAUCUGACGCUGAGGCACGAAAGCGUGGGUAUCGAACAGGAUUAGAUACCCGAGUAGUC